RNAcentral lists this ribosomal RNA (435 nucleotides) under uncultured bacterium. Its description in RNAcentral is "partial 16S ribosomal RNA". It matches the Rfam family "Bacterial small subunit ribosomal RNA", at positions 28 to 507 of the family's 1533-position model. The record is from RNAcentral.
GAUGAACGCUGGCGGUAUGCUUAACACAUGCAAGUCGAACGGACUCUUCGGAGUUAGUGGCGGACGGGUGAGUAACGCGUGAGAAUCUGGCUUUGGGUUCGGGACAACCACUGGAAACGGUGGCUAAUACCGGAUGUGCCGAGAGGUAAAAGAGAAAUUGCCUGAAGAUGAGCUCGCGUCUGAUUAGCUAGUUGGUGAGGUAAAGGCUCACCAAGGCAGCGAUCAGUAGCUGGUCUGAGAGGAUGACCAGCCACACUGGGACUGAGACACGGCCCAGACGACUACGGGAGGCAGCAGUGGAGAAUUUUCCGCAAUGGGCGAAAGCCUGACGGAGCAAUACCGCGUGAGGGAAGAAGGCUCUUGGGUUGUAAACCUCUUUUCUUAGGGAAGAACAAAAUGACGGUACCUAAGGAAUCAGCAUCGGCUAACUCCGUG